AAUGAACGCUGGCGGCGCGCCUAAUACAUGCAAGUCGAGCGAGAAGACGUAGCGAUACGUUUGUAAAGCGGCGAACGGGUGAGGAAUACAUGGGUAACCUACCCUCGAGUGGGGAAUAACUAGCCGAAAGGUUAGCUAAUACCGCGUACGCUUCUUGGACUUCGGUUCAGGGAGGAAAGCGAUGCCGAGGGUAUCGCGCUCUUGGAUGGGCUCAUGUCCUAUCAGCNGUUGGUGAGGUAACGGCUCACCAAGGCUUCGACGGGUAGCUGGUCUGAGAGGACGAUCAGCCACACUGGCACUGCGACACGGGCCAGACUCCUACGGGAGGCAGCAGUAAGGAAUAUUGCGCAAUGGGCGAAAGCCUGACGCAGCGACGCCGCGUGGGGGA
Molecule: ribosomal RNA, 388 nt
Filed under: uncultured bacterium
Lineage: Bacteria
Description: bacterial SSU rRNA
Rfam family: Bacterial small subunit ribosomal RNA
Source: RNAcentral